This 771-nucleotide ribosomal RNA is filed under the name Pseudomonas sp. VC 6. RNAcentral describes it as "bacterial SSU rRNA". It matches the Rfam family "Bacterial small subunit ribosomal RNA", at positions 80 to 846 of the family's 1533-position model. Lineage: Bacteria; Pseudomonadati; Pseudomonadota; Gammaproteobacteria; Pseudomonadales; Pseudomonadaceae. The record is from RNAcentral.
UUGCUCCCGGAUUCAGCGGCGGACGGGUGAGUAACACCUGGGAAUCUGCCUGGUAGUGGGGGAUAACGUCCGGAAACGGGCGCUAAUACCGCGUACGUCCUACGGGAGAAAGCAGGGGAUCUUCGGACCUUGCGCUAUCAGAUGAGCCCAGGUCGGAUUAGCUAGUAGGUGAGGUAAUGGCUCACCUAGGCGACGAUCCGUAACUGGUCUGAGAGGAUGAUCAGUCACACUGGAACUGAGACACGGUCCAGACUCCUACGGGAGGCAGCAGUGGGGAAUAUUGGACAAUGGGGGCAACCCUGAUCCAGCCAUGCCGCGUGUGUGAAGAAGGUCUUCGGAUUGUAAAGCACUUUAAGUUGGGAGGAAGGGCUUUAGGUUAAUACCCUGAAGUUUUGACGUUACCAACAGAAUAAGCACCGGCUAACUCUGUGCCAGCAGCCGCGGUAAUACAGAGGGUGCAAGCGUUAAUCGGAAUUACUGGGCGUAAAGCGCGCGUAGGUGGUUCAGUAAGAUGGGUGUGAAAUCCCCGGGCUUAACCUGGGAACUGCUUUCAUAACUGCUGAGCUAGAGUACGGUAGAGGGUAGUGGAAUUUCCUGUGUAGCGGUGAAAUGCGUAGAUAUAGGAAGGAACACCAGUGGCGAAGGCGACUACCCUGGACUGAUACUGACACUGAGGUGCGAAAGCGUGGGGAGCAAACAGGAUUAGAUACCCUGGUAGUCCACGCCGUAAACGAUGUCAACUAGCCGUUGGAGUCCUUGAGACUUUAUUGG